This 126-nucleotide non-coding RNA is filed under the name Candidatus Ruminococcus avistercoris. Its description in RNAcentral is "FMN riboswitch (RFN element)". It matches the Rfam family "FMN riboswitch aptamer (RFN element)". Rfam says of the family: The RFN element is a highly conserved domain that is found frequently in the 5'-untranslated regions of prokaryotic mRNAs that encode for flavin mononucleotide (FMN) biosynthesis and transport proteins. The record is from RNAcentral. Lineage: Bacteria; Bacillati; Bacillota; Clostridia; Eubacteriales; Oscillospiraceae.
UUCUUCAGGGCGGGGUGAAAGUCCCCACCGGCGGUAAACCUGCGUAUGACAGGAUAAGCCCGCGAGCCGUAAGGCAGGAUCCGGUGAGAUUCCGGGGCCGACAGUACAGUCUGGAUGGAAGAAGAA